RNAcentral lists this ribosomal RNA (394 nucleotides) under uncultured bacterium. Its description in RNAcentral is "partial 16S ribosomal RNA". It matches the Rfam family "Bacterial small subunit ribosomal RNA", at positions 338 to 729 of the family's 1533-position model. The record is from RNAcentral.
CCUACGGGAGGCAGCAGUGAGGAAUAUUGGUCAAUGGACGCAAGUCUGAACCAGCCAUGCCGCGUGCAGGAAGACGGCUCUAUGAGUUGUAAACUGCUUUUGUACGAGGGUAAACGCAGAUACGCGUAUCUGUCUGAAAGUAUCGUACGUAUACGGAACGGCGAACUCAGUGCCAGCAGCCGCGGUAAUACGGAGGAUUCAAGCGUUAUCCGGAUUUAUUGGGUUUAAAGGGUGCGUAGGCGGUCGGAUAAGUUAGAGGUGAAAUCCCGGGGCUCAACUUCGGAAUUGCCUCGGAUACUGGUCGACUAGAGAGUAGAUGAGGUAGGCGGAAUGUCUGGUGUAGCGGUGAAAUGCGUAGAGAUCAGACAGAACACCGAUUGCGAAGGCAGCUUAC